UACGGAGGAUGCGAGCGUUAUCCGGAUUUAUUGGGUGUAAAGGGCGUGUAGGCGGGAGCGCAAGUCAGAUGUGAAAACUCAGGGCUCAACCCUGAGCCUGCAUUUGAAACUGUGUUUCUUGAGUGCUGGAGAGGCAAUCGGAAUUCCGUGUGUAGCGGUGAAAUGCGUAGAUAUACGGAGGAACACCAGUGGCGAAGGCGGAUUGCUGGACAGUAACUGACGCUGAGGCGCGAAAGCGUGGGGAGCAAACAGG
This 253-nucleotide ribosomal RNA is filed under the name uncultured bacterium. RNAcentral's name for it is "partial 16S ribosomal RNA". It matches the Rfam family "Bacterial small subunit ribosomal RNA", at positions 524 to 776 of the family's 1533-position model. The record is from RNAcentral.